This 651-nucleotide ribosomal RNA is filed under the name Escherichia coli. RNAcentral describes it as "partial 23S ribosomal RNA". It matches the Rfam family "Bacterial large subunit ribosomal RNA", at positions 165 to 857 of the family's 2925-position model. Lineage: Bacteria; Pseudomonadati; Pseudomonadota; Gammaproteobacteria; Enterobacterales; Enterobacteriaceae. The record is from RNAcentral.
CAUAGGUUAAUGAGGCGAACCGGGGGAACUGAAACAUCUAAGUACCCCGAGGAAAAGAAAUCAACCGAGAUUCCCCCAGUAGCGGCGAGCGAACGGGGAGGAGCCCAGAGCCUGAAUCAGUGUGUGUGUUAGUGGAAGCGUCUGGAAAGGCGCGCGAUACAGGGUGACAGCCCCGUACACAAAAAUGCACAUAUUGUGAGCUCGAUGAGUAGGGCGGGACACGUGGUAUCCUGUCUGAAUAUGGGGGGACCAUCCUCCAAGGCUAAAUACUCCUGACUGACCGAUAGUGAACCAGUACCGUGAGGGAAAGGCGAAAAGAACCCCGGCGAGGGGAGUGAAAAAGAACCUGAAACCGUGUACGUACAAGCAGUGGGAGCCUCUUUUAUGGGGUGACUGCGUACCUUUUGUAUAAUGGGUCAGCGACUUAUAUUCUGUAGCAAGGUUAACCGAAUAGGGGAGCCGAAGGGAAACCGAGUCUUAACUGGGCGUUAAGUUGCAGGGUAUAGACCCGAAACCCGGUGAUCUAGCCAUGGGCAGGUUGAAGGUUGGGUAACACUAACUGGAGGACCGAACCGACUAAUGUUGAAAAAUUAGCGGAUGACUUGUGGCUGGGGGUGAAAGGCCAAUCAAACCGGGAGAUAGCUGGUUCUC